Molecule: ribosomal RNA, 520 nt
Filed under: uncultured Glomus
Lineage: Eukaryota; Fungi; Glomeromycota; Glomeromycetes; Glomerales; Glomeraceae
Description: SSU rRNA
Rfam family: Eukaryotic small subunit ribosomal RNA
Source: RNAcentral
AGCAGCCGCGGUAAUUCCAGCUCCAAUAGCGUAUAUUAAAGUUGUUGCAGUUAAAAAGCUCGUAGUUGAAUUUCGGGAUCAAAUUGUCGGUCGUGCCUCGGUACGAACUGGUAUUAUUGGUUCCUACCUUCUGAAGAACCGCGAUGUCAUUAAUUUGGUGUCGUGGGGAAUCAGGACUGUUACUUUGAAAAAAUUAGAGUGUUUAAAGCAGGCUUACGCUUGAAUACAUUAGCAUGGAAUAAUGAAAUAGGACGUUUGAUUCUAUUUUGUUGGUUUCUAGGAUUGACGUAAUGAUUAAUAGGGAUAGUUGGGGGCAUUAGUAUUCAAUUGUCAGAGGUGAAAUUCUUGGAUUUAUUGAAGACUAACUACUGCGAAAGCAUUUGCCAAGGAUGUUUUCAUUAAUCAAGAACGAAAGUUGGGGGAUCGAAGACGAUCAGAUACCGUCGUAGUCUUAACCAUAAACUAUGCCGACUAGGGAUCGGAUGAUGUUAAUUUUUAAUGACUCAUUCGGCGCCUUACG